Molecule: ribosomal RNA, 250 nt
Filed under: uncultured bacterium
Lineage: Bacteria
Description: partial 16S ribosomal RNA
Rfam family: Bacterial small subunit ribosomal RNA
Source: RNAcentral
UACGAGGGGGGCGAGCGUUGUUCGGAAUCACUGGGCGUAAAGCGUGCGUAGGCUGCCGCGAAAGUUAGGAGUGAAAGCCCCAGGCUUAACCUGGGAACAGCUCUUAAUACUUCGCGGCUUGAAUUCGGGAGAGGAUAGCGGAAUUGUCAGUGUAGCAGUGAAAUGCGUAGAUAUUGACAGGAACACCAGUGGCGUAAGCGGCUAUCUGGACCGACAUUGACGCUGAGGCACGAAAGCGUGGGGAUCAAAC